Anas platyrhynchos (mallard) is the source of this 4127-nucleotide long non-coding RNA. RefSeq lists it as uncharacterized. NCBI's taxonomy places the organism in Eukaryota, Metazoa, Chordata, Aves, Anseriformes, Anatidae. The record is from RefSeq and is a predicted model, not a curated record.
UUCUUAAAUAAGCUGAUCCUGGAGCUUUCUGCAUUCCUUUUUUCAUCUUAGGGACAUAAAUUUGUAUCUGAUACAGGAACAAAAUUCAGCCCCAGUCUCCUUGGACGUCAGCACCCUACUCAGGAGAGUAGUAGAAGAAAAAACACCCUACUUCAUAAAGACAUUGUGAAGAAAAGUUUAUGAAUUAUUGAGUCAUGUUCUGAUACAGAGAGGUCAUAUAUGGAUGUGUGUCUGCAUCAGACAUAGCUAGCUAGAAUUGAUUGCUGCAUGAAUAAACAUUUACUGCUUCAGGCCCUGCAACAGUAAUGUCCCCUCUCUCAUCUCGUCCCUGAGUUUCUUAAUGGUCAUGUCCUGCAUGACACUUUGAAGGCUGUAUAUUGGAAAGGGCAAACUCUUGCUAUUUUUCUGUGCUGUACACUACUCAGCCCUUUCUGCCCCCAUUACUGUUUGAUCUUUUACAAGGGUAUCCUGUUGUGAAUUAUAGGAUGUAAUUAAGGAAGAUGGUUUUAAUCCUUCUCAUUGUAAAUGUACAAUACAAGAACCAGCUACAUGAUAUUGUGAAUUUUGUGCAGCCUGUAAGUAAGGGUGACCAAACUAUUUUCUCUGGAUAGAGUAAAUCCUUCUUACCCUCAUCCUUCAGACUUCAAACUGAACUUGAUCCAAACAUCCUUUCCUCCAAUUUAGGAAAAACUUCAUUCACUUUUAAGUUUCAUUUUCAUGUGAAAAUGCUGUGAAAUAAAUUGUUCCUGUAGUAUUUUCAACCAUGACCUGAAGUAGAAAGUACCAGAAAUACCAUGAGAAAACCUAACGAUGGGUUGAUCUCCACACAAUUAAGAGGUGUAAUGAAUUCAGGUGAGAUUUCUGGGACAGCAGGCAAAUGCAAGGGUUCACAUUAAGGGGUAACUAAAAUGAUCUGGGCAAAAUGCAACAUUUGAACAUUACACCAGAAAACAUAAAUAAUUGGCCUUUUAAGUAAAGCAAAAAUCUAAUUUGAAAGACUUCAGGUAGUGAUACUAGUUGUGCCUAGAUUUCCACGCUGGUGUGCUCCACAGCAUCCUGGCCCUGAGUGUACACUAGGGGAUAUAUUGGCAAGCAUAGUAAAUCAAUUCCUGCCCAAUACUUUUUUCUUUUUUUUCCCAGUGGAAAAUAAGGCACCUGGGGAGAUGGCACAUACCCAAGCCUCCACGUGACGAGCAGUAUAUGGUCAAAGUGCGCACUUCAGCACAAUUGUUUCUGCAUCCUCCAGUUUAUAUAGACUUUUCAAUCACAUUUUAACAUAACUUUUCAAGUCUUGCAGUAACAUUUAGAAGCCUCAUUCCCAUGCUAUGCAUUAUAAAACCAUGGGAGGAAAGAACUGUGCCCCCAGAUCUUCCAUUUGACAUAGAAAAAGGUAGUGCUGAGCUUGAAGGAGAGCAGUGGGAAGCGAUUUGUAUACUAGCCUUGGCAUUUUGCCCAGACCAUGCAACAGUUCUGUUUGCACCAAUUGUUUGUAUUAUCCUUUGCUACCUACACCGCUAUGUAAUGAUGAGUGUUGGGAGUGUGCAAGCCUUCAGCAGCAAGGUUCGUCAGCCUGGGCUGCAGUGAUCCCAUCUCUGAUACAGAUUGGCAUGCAGGGUGAUGUGUAAAACACAUAUCACUAUGCAAAAUACUCCUUCAGAUCAAAGAAAAUUUGCCCAGGAUUUCCAAGACCCUCUGACCACUGGAUAACAGAAUCACAGAUCAUUGGGAUUUCUGAAUCUGAAGGUUAGUGCAGCUAUAAACUGUUGUGCUCCUUCUCAAGCCAUGAUGUAGAAUAUCUAUAGACAGGGAUGAUUUGACUAGAGACCGAUAUGGUACUGGUGAAUGCCAAACAUCUGCUGGAGCAGGAAAGGGUGAUGUGAUGACCUCUGCAUACUUAAAUCCUAUAGAAAUUAAUUCUGGGAUAAGGCCAGAGAGCCACUAUUGAUUCUGACAGAAUUAUUCUGGAUGCAUAACCAUGUAACUGAAAGCAGAAAUUGGCCCGACAUGUAAUCUGCUUUGGGAUGAAAGGCACAAUUUAAAUGGAAGAUGCUAUUAUUAUUAUUAUUAUUAUUUCCCUUCUAGGGCUAGUAAAGCCCUUAGCUUUCAUCUUCAAGCAGGAGAGGAGGGUGAAAAAAGAGUGCUUUUUUUUUUUUUUCCUUAAAUAUUUAAACAAGAUGUAAGUCUGCCAUUCAAAGGAUGCCAAAAACAACAACAACAACAAAAACUCACACCACCAAACAGCUAGAAACCGAGCAAAACUGAAGUAGAUUUGACCUCAAAGGAGCUGAAAUUGAGUUAAAGUUUACUACUGAAGUCAGGUUUCCCUUGGGGGGUAGGCUGCCAUUUAAGCUAUUUCUUCUCUUUUACUUGUACAGUAUAAUUCCCCUAAUACAGUGCUAUAGGUCAAAAAAGAGCUCCACUACAGCUGGGUUCCAAUUUCCAUUUACCAGCAAGAAAAAACUCUCCUUGUAUAAAACAGCUUAGUAUUAUUUUGUGGAAGAAUUGGCUCCUAAAUACUACCUUGUAGAAGAAUAAGGCAACCUGUAUCUCGGUAGUCUGAAGUGAAAGCUACAUCUUCAGGGCACUAGCCUUCAACAGAUUAUACUCCUGAGUCUGCUACUAGCUCACUGUGUCUCUUCAUCACUUUUUUGUUUUUAAAAAAGGUACUCUUGGUGUAUCCGGUUAAUUUUUAGAUGUUUGCUUAUUUUUAUUUUCUUUUUACCUUUUCUUGAAUUACUUCUCAGCUUUCUUCCCACCUCUCUAUUCACUUAGAGCCGUGUGCACACCAUCUCUUCUGUCAAGAUGAAAAUCUGCACAGACUGAUGACUGAUUGGACUGUGAAUGGGGAAAAAUUAAGUAGCUUAUAGACCUGGUAUUGAUAAUAAAGGAGCAAACUGAUAUAAACAAAUUAAAAAAAAAUCCACUUACAUGCUUUACCCGCUUUCUCUCAGUUAUGGUACUUGUCAGUGCUUCUUGUAGCAGCAGGUACUAAGGAAGCUUGAGACAGAAGAAUGAUUUUUAAAUUUGUGUGAGCCCUUUUAAAGACACACAGGGAAACUACAUAUCCCACUGUGUUGGCAUCAAGCUUUGUUUUUCCCUGCCUUUUCUGUGCUAAAAAACAGCUUGCUGCUGCCACAUUAGUACCGGCAGAUCCUCCUGGUAGUGAAGGGAAUGAACUUCAUACUCUGCUAUGGCUUGUUGAGGCUGGUGGACUGUGAUCUGUUUUCAGGGGAAAGAAAGGGUUGAACCAAAGCCAAUUUUUGUGUUGUUUGAAUGUGCUGGAGGGGUUUUAGUAUAGAAUUAACUCUUCUGAAAUCAUUGCAUCCUGAAGAGAUCCUGAGACCAAAUUUAAAAGGUACAUUUAUGAUGACUCUUUUCUGUGUUUCAGUACUUGUCGGAAAAGAAAUUUUUGAAAUGUCCAUGUUUCAUAUGUGAAGCUGCUCUGGCCUGUAUUUAUCUCCCUGGAAACUGAAGUGCAUCUGAUUUGGCUUCAUUUGGGUUGACCCUUCUCUUCCUUUGCUAAGAUUUCUUUAAAAUGUUGGUAUAGGAAUGUUAAAACCAAGUGUUUUAUUUAUUUAUUUAACAACGUGGUGGUUUAAUUCAGCUGGGCAGCUGAGCUCCACCAGAACCGCUCUCUCCCUCCCCAGAGGGAAAGGGGGAGAAAAUAUGAUGAAAAGGGCUCAAGGGUUGCAAGGCUGAGGUAGGACAGGGCGAUCACUCACAGCAGUUUUACUCCCUUUCUUCAAUCUGCUCUCACAGAGGUGCAAACAACAUUGCUCACUGGUUUGGCUCUGGGCAGCGGCGGACCCCUUUGGAGCCAGCUGAAACUCGCCCUUAUCUGACAUGGGGCAGCUUCUGGACUCUUCUCACAGAGGCCACGCCUGCAGCCCCCUGCUACCAAAACCUUGUGACAUAAACCCAAUAUAAACAGCCAAAAGCUUAUUCCAGCUGGAAAGUCAGAAGUCCUUCAGUUUUGACCAAAGGAUUAAGAAAUCCCAAAGUCUUGCACUAAGGAGACAAGAAGGUGAGAUGAAGAAGAUGAAGACCAAAAAAAAAAAAAGCUUUCAAAAUCCUGGCUAUAUCUGUAUAAUAGUACAAUACUAUCAAUAAAUUCAUGAGCAUCCUGA